Molecule: ribosomal RNA, 274 nt
Filed under: uncultured bacterium
Lineage: Bacteria
Description: partial 16S ribosomal RNA
Rfam family: Bacterial small subunit ribosomal RNA
Source: RNAcentral
AUACCGAGGGUGCAAGCGUUAAUCGGAUUUACUGGGCGUAAAGCGCGCGUAGGUGGCCAAUUAAGUCAAAUGUGAAAUCCCCGAGCUUAACUUGGGAAUUGCAUUCGAUACUGGUUGGCUAGAGUAUGGGAGAGGAUGGUAGAAUUCCAGGUGUAGCGGUGAAAUGCGUAGAGAUCUGGAGGAAUACCGAUGGCGAAGGCAGCCAUCUGGCCUAAUACUGACACUGAGGUGCGAAAGCAUGGGGAGCAAACAGGAUUAGAGACCCGAGUAGUCC